GGUUCCAUAGUGUAGUGGUUAGCACAUCUGCUUUACACACAGAAGGGCCUGGGUUUGUGCCCUAGUGGAGCUA
RNAcentral lists this transfer RNA (73 nucleotides) under Pteropus alecto (black flying fox). It matches the Rfam family "tRNA". From Rfam's summary of the family: Transfer RNA (tRNA) molecules are approximately 80 nucleotides in length. Their secondary structure includes four short double-helical elements and three loops (D, anti-codon, and T loops). Further hydrogen bonds mediate the characteristic L-shaped molecular structure. tRNAs have two regions of fundamental functional importance: the anti-codon, which is responsible for specific mRNA codon recognition, and the 3' end, to which the tRNAs corresponding amino acid is attached (by aminoacyl-tRNA synthetases). tRNAs cope with the degeneracy of the genetic code in two manners: having more than one tRNA (with a specific anti-codon) for a particular amino acid; and 'wobble' base-pairing, i.e. permitting non-standard base-pairing at the 3rd anti-codon position. The record is from Rfam by way of RNAcentral. Lineage: Eukaryota; Metazoa; Chordata; Mammalia; Chiroptera; Pteropodidae.